GGUUUCUCUGUGUAGCUUUGGAGCCGAUCCUGGCACUCACUCUGGAGACCAGGCUGGCCUUGAACUCACAGAGAUUCACCUGCCUCUGCCUCCCGAGUGCUGGGAUUAAAGGCGUGCGCCACCAAUGCCC
MicroRNA precursor from Cricetulus griseus (Chinese hamster), 130 nucleotides. Lineage: Eukaryota; Metazoa; Chordata; Mammalia; Rodentia; Cricetidae. The record is from Ensembl.